Molecule: ribosomal RNA, 358 nt
Filed under: Phoberus nanniscus
Lineage: Eukaryota; Metazoa; Arthropoda; Insecta; Coleoptera; Trogidae
Description: partial 16S ribosomal RNA
Source: RNAcentral
UAAUAUAAAGUCUAACCUGCCCAAUGAUAAUUGAUUUAAUGGCCGCGGUAUUUUGACCGUGCUAAGGUAGCAUAAUAAUUAGUUUUUUAAUUGAGAACUGGUAUGAAUGGUUGGACAAAGAAAAUUCUGUCUCAAAUUUAUUUUAAUUAGAAUUUUAUUUUUAAGUAAAAAAGCUUAAAUAAUUUUAAAAGACGAGAAGACCCUAUAGAGUUUUAUAUUAUUAUUUAUAAAUAAUUUAAGGAAUUUUAUAUUUUAUAUAUUUAAUAGUAUUUUGUUGGGGUGACAAAAAAAUUAAAUUAACUUUUUUUAUUUUAAAAUCAUUAAUUUAUGAUUAAAUGAUCCAUUUUUUAUGAUUAAA